CAAGGAAUUUUCGGCAAUGGGCGCAAGCCUGACCGAGCAACGCCGCGUGGAGGAUGACGGCUUUCGGGUUGUAAACUCCUUUUGGGAGGGACGAUAAUGACGGUACCUUCCGAAUAAGCCCCGGCUAACUCUGUGCCAGCAGCCGCGGUAAUACAGAGGGGGCAAGCGUUGUCCGGACUCACUGGGCGUAAAGGGUGCGUAGGCGGUUUGGAGCGUUCGCGCUGAAAUCCCACAGCUUAACUGCGGGGCGCGUGCGAAUACGUCCAGACUCGAGGCAGGGAGAGGAUGGGGGAACUCCUGGUGUAGUGGUGAAAUGCGUAGAGAUCAGGAAGAACACCCGUGGCGCAAGCGCCCAUCUGGUCCUGUCCUGACGCUGUGGCACGAAAGCGUGGGGAGCGAACCG
This 403-nucleotide ribosomal RNA is filed under the name uncultured bacterium. RNAcentral describes it as "bacterial SSU rRNA". It matches the Rfam family "Bacterial small subunit ribosomal RNA", at positions 355 to 775 of the family's 1533-position model. The record is from RNAcentral.